RNAcentral lists this ribosomal RNA (497 nucleotides) under uncultured bacterium. RNAcentral describes it as "partial 16S ribosomal RNA". It matches the Rfam family "Bacterial small subunit ribosomal RNA", at positions 28 to 507 of the family's 1533-position model. The record is from RNAcentral.
GAUGAACGCUGGCGGCGUGCCUAAUACAUGCAAGUCGAGCGAACAGACGAGGAGCUUGCUCCUCUGACGUUAGCGGCGGACGGGUGAGUAACACGUGGAUAACCUACCUAUAAGACUGGGAUAACUUCGGGAAACCGGAGCUAAUACCGGAUAAUAUAUUGAACCGCAUGGUUCAAUAGUGAAAGACGGUUUUGCUGUCACUUAUAGAUGGAUCCGCGCCGCAUUAGCUAGUUGGUAAGGUAACGGCUUACCAAGGCAACGAUGCGUAGCCGACCUGAGAGGGUGAUCGCCCACACUGGAACUGAGAAACGUCCCAGACUCCUACGGGAGGCAGCAGUAGGGAAUCUUCCGCAAUGGGCGAAAGCCUGACGGAGCAACGCCGCGUGAGUGAUGAAGGUCUUCGGAUCGUAAAACUCUGUUAUUAGGGAAGAACAAAUGUGUAAGUACCUAUGCACGUCUUGACGGUACCUAAUCAGAAAGCCACGGCUAACUACGUG